Molecule: ribosomal RNA, 240 nt
Filed under: Blastocystis sp.
Lineage: Eukaryota; Bigyra; Opalinata; Blastocystidae
Description: partial 18S ribosomal RNA
Rfam family: Eukaryotic small subunit ribosomal RNA
Source: RNAcentral
CUGCGAAGGCUCAUUAUAUCAGUUAUAGUGAACCGUGAAGAAUACUAAUUGGAUAACCGUAGUAAUUCUAGAGCUAAUACAUGUAUAAAGUCUUGUAGACUGCAUUUAUUAGAAUGAAAACCAUAGGUUUCGGCCUAUUCGUGAGUAAUAAUAACUAAUCAUAUCGUAUGCUUAUGUAACGAUGUGUCUUUCAAGUUUCUGCCCUAUCAGCUUUCGAUGGUAGUGUAUUGGACUACCAUG